This 793-nucleotide ribosomal RNA is filed under the name uncultured bacterium. RNAcentral describes it as "bacterial SSU rRNA". It matches the Rfam family "Bacterial small subunit ribosomal RNA", at positions 8 to 796 of the family's 1533-position model. The record is from RNAcentral.
AGAGUUUGAUCCUGGCUCAGAUUGAACGCUGGCGGCAUGCCUAACACAUGCAAGUCGAACGCGAAAGAGGGGCAACUCUCGAGUAGAGUGGCGGACGGGUGAGUAAUACGUAGGAAUCUGCCCUAAAGUGGGGGAUAACCCGGGGAAACUCGGGCUAAUACCGCAUAAUCUCUUUGGAGCAAAGCAGGGGACCGCAAGGCCUUGUGCUUUAGGAUGAGCCUACGUCGGAUUAGCUAGUUGGUAGGGUAAAAGCCUACCAAGGCGACGAUCCGUAGCUGGUCUGAGAGGACGAUCAGCCACACUGGAACUGAGACACGGUCCAGACUCCUACGGGAGGCAGCAGUGGGGAAUAUUGGACAAUGGGGGAAACCCUGAUCCAGCAAUGCCGCGUGUGCGAUGAAGGCCUGCGGGUUGUAAAGCACUUUCGGUGGGGAAGAAAUGCUCAAAGAUAAUCUCUUUGAGAGCUGACGUUACCCACAGAAGAAGCACCGGCAAACUCUGUGCCAGCAGCCGCGGUAAUACAGAGGGUGCAAGCGUUAAUCGGAGUUACUGGGCGUAAAGGGCGCGUAGGCGGAUAUUUAAGUCGGAUGUGAAAUCCCUGGGCUUAACCUAGGAAUUGCAUUCGAUACUGAGUACUCUUGAGUAUGGUAGAGGAAAGUGGAAUUCUCGGUGUAGUGGUAAAAUACGUAGAUAUCGAGAAGAACACCGGUGGCGAAGGCGGCUUUCUGGACCAAUACUGACGCUGAGGCGCGAAAGCGUGGGGAGCAAACAGGAUUAGAUACCCUGGUAGUCC